Molecule: ribosomal RNA, 807 nt
Filed under: Ramularia vizellae
Lineage: Eukaryota; Fungi; Ascomycota; Dothideomycetes; Mycosphaerellales; Mycosphaerellaceae
Description: eukaryotic LSU rRNA
Rfam family: Eukaryotic large subunit ribosomal RNA
Source: RNAcentral
CCCUAGUAACGGCGAGUGAAGCGGCAACAGCUCAAAUUUGAAAUCUGGCGCAAGCCCGAGUUGUAAUUUGUAGAGGAUGCUUCUAGGUAGCGACCGGUCUAAGUUCCUUGGAACAGGACGUCAUAGAGGGUGAGAAUCCCGUAUGUGACUGGCCCGCACCUUCUACGUAGCUCCUUCGACGAGUCGAGUUGUUUGGGAAUGCAGCUCUAAAUGGGAGGUAAAUUUCUUCUAAAGCUAAAUACCGGCCAGAGACCGAUAGCGCACAAGUAGAGUGAUCGAAAGAUGAAAAGCACUUUGGAAAGAGAGUUAAAAAGCACGUGAAAUUGUUGAAAGGGAAGCGCUCACAACCAGACUUCUAGGCAGUGUUCCGCCGGUCUUUUGACCGGUCUACUCUCUGUCUCGAGGCCAACAUCAUCUGGGACCGCUGGAUAAGACCUUAGGAAUGUAGCUCCCCUCGGGGAGUGUUAUAGCCUCUGGUGAUGCAGCGAGUCUCGGGUGAGGUCCGCGCUUCGGCAAGGAUGUUGGCGUAAUGGUUGUCAGCGGCCCGUCUUGAAACACGGACCAAGGAGUCUAACAUCUAUGCGAGUGUUCGGGUGUCAAACCCCUACGCGUAAUGAAAGUGAACGGAGGUGGGAAGCGUAAGCUGCACCAUCGACCGAUCCUGAUGUCCUCGGAUGGAUUUGAGUAAGAGCAUAGCUGUUGGGACCCGAAAGAUGGUGAACUAUGCCUGAAUAGGGUGAAGCCAGAGGAAACUCUGGUGGAGGCUCGCAGCGGUUCUGACGUGCAAAUCGAUCGUCAAAUUUGGGU